RNAcentral lists this non-coding RNA (24 nucleotides) under Mus musculus (house mouse). Lineage: Eukaryota; Metazoa; Chordata; Mammalia; Rodentia; Muridae. The record is from RNAcentral.
UGUAACUGCUUCAGACCUGUGUCA